GGGUUGUGAGGUUAAGUGACGAAGCGUACACGGUGGAUGCCCUGGCAGUCAGAGGCGAUGAAGGGCGUGCUAAUCUGCGAUAAGCGUCGGUAAGGUGAUAUGAACCGCGAUACCCGACGAUACCCGAAUGGGGAAACCCGGUGCACUUGUGCAUCAUUGCAGCAUGAAUACAUAGUGCUGCAAGGCGAACCGGGGGAACUGAAACAUCUCAGUACCCCGAGGAAAAGAAAUCAACCGAGAUUCCCCCAGUAGCGGCGAGCGAACGGGGAGGAGCCCGGAACCAUCAUCAGCUUGUGCAUCAGUGGAAGCGUCUGGAAAGUCGCAGGGUACAGGGUGAUACUCCCGUACACGAAGGUGCACAUGCUGUGAGUUCGAAGAGUAGGGCGGGACACGUGUUAUCCUGUCUGAAUAUGGGGGGACCAUCCUCCAAGGCUAAAUACUCCUGACUGACCGAUAGUGAACCAGUACCGUGAGGGAAAGGCGAAAAGAACCCCGGCGAGGGGAGUGAAACAGAACCUGAAACCGUGUACGUACAAGCAGUGGGAGCACCUUCGUGGUGUGACUGCGUACCUUUUGUAUAAUGGGUCAGCGACUUGUAUUCUGUAGCAAGGUUAACCGAAUAGGGGAGCCGCAGGGAAACCGAGUCUUAACUGGGCGUUAAGUUGCAGGGUACAGACCCGAAACCCGGUGAUCUAGCCAUGGGCAGGUUGAAGGUUGGGUAACACUAACUGGAGGACCGAACCGACUAAUGUUGAAAAAUUAGCGGAUGACCUGUGGCUGGGGGUGAAAGGCCAAUCAAACCGGGAGAUAGCUGGUUCUCCCCGAAAGCUAUUUAGGUAGCGCCUCGUGAAGUCAUCUGCGGGGGUAGAGCACUGUUUCGGCCAGGGGGCCAUCCCGGCUUACCGAUCCGAUGCAAACUCCGAAUACCGCAGAAUGUUAUCACGGGAGACACACGGCGGGUGCUAACGUCCGUCGUGAAGAGGGAAACAACCCAGACCGCCAGCUAAGGUCCCAAAGUCAUGGUUAAGUGGGAAACGAUGUGGGAAGGCCCAGACAGCCAGGAUGUUGGCUUAGAAGCAGCCAUCAUUUAAAGAAAGCGUAAUAGCUCACUGGUCGAGUCGGCCUGCGCGGAAGAUGUAACGGGGCUAAACCAUGCACCGAAGCUGCGGCAGCGGCGCGUAAGCGUUGUUGGGUAGGGGAGCGUUCUGUAAGCCGUGGAAGGUGUGCUGUGAGGCAUGCUGGAGGUAUCAGAAGUGCGAAUGCUGACAUAAGUAACGAUAAAGCGGGUGAAAAGCCCGCUCGCCGGAAGACCAAGGGUUCCUGUCCAACGUUAAUCGGGGCAGGGUGAGUCGACCCCUAAGGCGAGGCCGAAAGGCGUAGUCGAUGGGAAACGGGUUAAUAUUCCCGUACUCGGUGUUGCUGCGAAGGGGGGACGGAGAAGGCUAUGUCAUCCGGGCGACGGUUGUCCCGGUUUAAGCGUGUAGGCUGUUUUUCCAGGCAAAUCCGGAAAAUCAAGGCUGAGGCGUGAUGACGAGGCACCACGGUGCUGAAGUGACAAAUGCCCUGCUUCCAGGAAAAGCCUCUAAGCAUCAGGCAACAGAGAAUCGUACCCGAAACCGACACAGGUGGUCAGGUAGAGAAUACCAAGGCGCUUGAGAGAACCCGGGUGAAGGAACUAGGCAAAAUGGUGCCGUAACUUCGGGAGAAGGCACGCUGGCGCGUAGGUGAAGGGACGUGCUCCCGGAGCUGAAGCCAGUCGAAGAUACCAGCUGGCUGCAACUGUUUAUUAAAAACACAGCACUGUGCAAACACGAAAGUGGACGUAUACGGUGUGACGCCUGCCCGGUGCCGGAAGGUUAAUUGAUGGGGUUAGCGGCAACGCGAAGCUCCUGAUCGAAGCCCCGGUAAACGGCGGCCGUAACUAUAACGGUCCUAAGGUAGCGAAAUUCCUUGUCGGGUAAGUUCCGACCUGCACGAAUGGCGUAAUGAUGGCCAGGCUGUCUCCACCCGGGACUCAGUGAAAUUGAACUCGCUGUGAAGAUGCAGUGUACCCGCGGCAAGACGGAAAGACCCCGUGAACCUUUACUACAGCUUGACACUGAACACUGAGCCUUGAUGUGCAGGAUAGGUGGGAGGCUUUGAAGCGCGGACGCCAGUUCGUGUGGAGCCAUCCUUGAAAUACCACCCUUUAACGUUUGGUGUUCUAACCUUGCGCCGUGAUCCGGCGCGGGGACAGUGUCUGGUGGGUAGUUUGACUGGGGCGGUCUCCUCCCAAAGCGUAACGGAGGAGCACGAAGGUUGGCUAAUCCUGGUCGGACAUCAGGAGGUUAGUGCAAUGGCAUAAGCCAGCCUGACUGCGAGCGUGACGGCGCGAGCAGAUGCGAAAGCAGGUCAUAGUGAUCCGGUGGUUCUGAAUGGAAGGGCCAUCGCUCAACGGAUAAAAGGUACUCCGGGGAUAACAGGCUGAUACCGCCCAAGAGUUCAUAUCGACGGCGGUGUUUGGCACCUCGAUGUCGGCUCAUCACAUCCUGGGGCUGAAGCAGGUCCCAAGGGUACGGCUGUUCGCCGUUUAAAGUGGUACGCGAGCUGGGUUUAGAACGUCGUGAGACAGUUCGGUCCCUAUCUGCCGUGGGCGCUGGAGAAUUGAGGGGGUUUGCUCCCAGUACGAGAGGACCGGAGUGAACGCACCGCUGGUGUUCGGGUUGUCACGCCAGUGGCACAGCCCGGUAGCUAAGUGCGGAAAAGAUAAGCGCUGAAAGCAUCUAAGCGCGAAACUUGCCCCGAGAUGAGUUCUCCCUGUGGCUUAAAGCCACCUUAAGGGACGUUGAAGACGACGACGUUGAUAGGCCGGAUGUGUAAGCGCAGCGAUGCGUUGAGCUGACCGGUACUAAUGACCCGUGAGGCUUAACCUUACAACGCCAGAGGCGUUCUG
Molecule: ribosomal RNA, 2932 nt
Filed under: Erwinia tracheiphila
Lineage: Bacteria; Pseudomonadati; Pseudomonadota; Gammaproteobacteria; Enterobacterales; Erwiniaceae
Description: bacterial LSU rRNA
Rfam family: Bacterial large subunit ribosomal RNA
Source: RNAcentral